This 29-nucleotide non-coding RNA is filed under the name Rattus norvegicus (Norway rat). Lineage: Eukaryota; Metazoa; Chordata; Mammalia; Rodentia; Muridae. The record is from RNAcentral.
UGAGAAGUUUUAUAGACCAUGCUUGUCUC